GUGCGAACUUCCGGGCAGACUUCCGGGCGGGCCCGCGCGCCACCCGUCCUCCAGGUGUGAAUGGCUGCGAGGGGCCUGGCUUCCGGCGAGCUGCAAAUGGCGACCGCAAAAGACUGGGAGUUGCCGUUCCUCUCAUUCCUUCCCCAUCAGUCAGGGGUGCCUGAGAGAUGACGUCCACCCAGACGUAAAGCAGAUGGUUUUUCUAUGGGAAGCAAGGCCCGUGAGAACGUUCUUUCCUGGAACUCCCAAAUCAUGGACAUUAGUCAACAGCCAUGCCACAGCCUACCCGGACAUACUAUGUUCAUGUAGAGUCAUGUAUUCAUCUCCAGCUGUAGAAAAGAAUAUAUCAAAGCCCAUGUUUCUACACUGACUACCAGAGUUAUUGUUCUGCCUCAGUGUAGACCAACAGCUUAACUCCACUUCAACCCCUAGCCUGGGGGACGUCCAUAGGCUGCGGGUGCAGCAAGGAAAAAAGGACAAAGAAAUAGCGUCUUGAGAACACUGGCUUGAGAUGGGAAGAAAUCAGGGCUGCAGGGCCGUAGGGGGAGGUGUGUGUCUGCUCCACUACACAGCAGCAGCGACGUAAGCAUCAGAAAUUAGGCAGGAAGGUUACAGAGACACCCUCCCAUCCCCAUUUAAGACUGGAAAUAGGAUGAAGUUGAAGGGAAGGGGUGAGAGCAGAGCUGGGCCCCUUCCAGCCGUCACCACAGGCCUGGGGCUGCACCCCGGCGGGAGGCUGCUCACUGGGACCCCUGGGUUCUGACCAACAGGAGGGCAGCCCAGCCUGCCCCUAACUCCACAGGGCCAGUGGGCGCUGUCCAGCGGGGCCUCCACUGGGGGCUGCCACCUGGCUGGAGGAAACAGGGCGAGCUCUCAAAACUGUAAGUGCUCCCUCUCGAGCCCACCAGAGGCUUCCUAGGGUUUCAUGGUCUCCCUCGCAGGCCUCUCUGCUGUGUUUGCUAUCAUGACAGGGCCACUUACCAUUGCCCGCCAUGGUCCUUCGGGAGUUAAUGCCAGACAGCUGCCUCGGAGACACUGGCUCUCUGCUGAUGGAGCCAGGCUGGGGGGAGCCUGUCCCUGUGGGAAUGUAUAAAGGCCACCCAGGGGGACCAGCCAUCCUGCCUCAGAGUCCCCCUGAGGAGGAGCCAGCUGUCUGCUCCCUCCCUGAGUUGCGCAGUAGACCCAAGUCCACGUCCGGGUUGUGAUAACUAUUCAGCCGGCCAGCAAGGCUUUUGAAGCAAAACGGUCUAACUGGAGUUGGAGAAGGACAGCAUCCAGAAACACCAGUUCCGUAGGGGGUGAGCUGCAAGGAACAAGCAAGAAGCUCAUACACUAUGCAUCGCCAGGAGUUCCCAUCGUGGCACAGCGGAAAUGAAUCUGACUAGGAACCAUGAGGUUUCAGGUUCGAUCCCUGGCCUCAAUCAGCAGGUUAAGGAUCUGGCGUUGCCAUGAGUUGUGGUGAAGGUUGCAGACGCGGCUCGGAUCUGGUGGUGGUGUAGGCCAGCAGCUGUAGCUCCGAUUAGACCCCUAGCCUGGGAACCUCCAUAUGCCAUGGGUAUGGCCCUAAAGAGACCAAAAAAAAAAAAAAAAAAAAAAAACAUCGCCAAAGAGGGUCACUGGGCCCUGAGCAUGUGCUCUCAACACCCCCACUCCACCCUUCUGCACAGCAUUGAAAGCUUCCUGGAGGAGAAGGCCCCUUACAGAGGCCUGAGGGGAGGGAAGUCUGUCUAAGCAAAACAUGGACAAAAUGUAUCUGCUGCAAAUUACAAGAAGCUGAUGAAAGAUCAAAGAAGAACUAACUAAAUGGAGACAUGUUAUCAUGUUCACGGACUGGAGGAUUCAACUUUUCCCCAAAUUAAUUUAAAGGUUUAAUGCAAUUCCUAUCAAAAUUCAAAAAAGAAUGUUGGCAGAAACAGGUAAGCUUAUUCUGAAAUUUAUACUGACAAGAGAGCAGGAGGUCUGGCUUGCGAGUGGCCACUUCUCUGUUGCGUGUGGGGAAAGAAUAAAUUUAAAGUGGGUGAUGUUGAGAAGGGCAAGAAGAUUCUUGUUGGGAAGUGUCCUCAGUGCUGUACCGUGGAGGAGGAAGGCAAGCACAAGACUGGCUCCAACCUCCAUGGUCUGGUUGGACUGAAGACGGGCCAGCCUCCUUGGAUUCACUCACCCGAGGAGAGGAGACGCUGGCGGAGACGUGGACAAUCCCGCAAAGGACCUCCCUGGAACAAAAAUGCUCUUUGCUGCCCUUAGGAAGCGGGGAGAAGGGAAGACGUGGUAGCUUAUCUCAAGAAAGCUCCUGAUGAGAACAGAGUGCCGUCGUGGCUCAGUGGUCACGAACCCAACUGGUAUCCAUGAGCAUGUGGGUUCAAGUCUUGGCCUUGCUCAGUGGGUUAAGGAACUGGCAUUGCCGGGAGCUGUGGUGUAGGUCGCAGACACAGCUCGGAUCUGGCGUUGCUGUGGCUGUGGUGUAGGCCGGCAGCUACAGCUCUGAAUAGACCCCUUGCCUGGGUAUGGCCCUCAAGAAAAGACAAAACAAAACCCUGUAGGCGAUUGGUUUUAUAUAUAGAUUUCUAGAACUCGUUUUAUUAAUAUGUUUAAAUACUGAGAAGAUCCCUUUACGGUCUCAGAACAGAGCAAGAUUCACCUGCGUUUCAAGCUCUGUUCACUAACCUGUUAAGGCAAGAGUGGAGGAUAAAUUGACACCGUCCCCUGUAUCUUUUUGGUCUUAAUGAUGCUAAUUUCAUUAAAAGUUCUCUGUGU
This 2754-nucleotide long non-coding RNA is filed under the name Sus scrofa (pig). RNAcentral's name for it is "lncRNA (ENSSSCG00000032483.3)". Lineage: Eukaryota; Metazoa; Chordata; Mammalia; Artiodactyla; Suidae. The record is from RNAcentral.